CGCCCGGGUUCCCAGGGCGCCAGCCUCGGGCGGAAGGCUGGGGCACUCGCCCAGUGCGCGUCCGCACAGCCUGCUCCCAGCAGUUCUGCGUCAGACGACUCCUGGCUUCUGAGUCCUUCACCUCGCUUGGCCUUGGCACCAACCUUCCCUCGGCCGAAGGUUGCACUCGUGAGUGAACAGUUCAAGCUCCUCUGUGACUUCUGCAGGGAGCUGUCGCUGUGUCUCUGCUUCGAUUUAUCAAAGCAGCUGUUAGGGGCGUCCCUCACCUCCCUGUUUGGGGGCUGCCUGUUCUGCAGGAGCGAGAACCUCCCCUCCUCAGUUUUAGGCUAGGUGUAGACCAGAUAAAGGUUGCUUGCAGAGCUUCAUAUUCUCCACUUGUCUUUUCUUGCUUGCCUCCUCCCCUGCCAACUCUGUAGACCAAUAUCAGUUCUCCUCCUCCUACAAGAGAACAACUGGGAUUUGACUUAAAAUUCUGCACCCCUUGAAGAUAUGUUUUCUCAUUCCCAGAAGAUGAUUACACUGGGGGAGCUAGGGCACAGAGCCCUCUUUGGUGCCUACACUGCCUCUUCAAGAAGCAUGACUGCCACAAAGGAGUCCAGCAUCAGUUCUGGUUUUCCUGCCUGUGUUCUUGUUACUUGUACAUACAUUAUUUAACUAUUUAGGUUUUAAAUUAUUACUACAUGGAUAGAACUGGUUACAAUUUCAUGUUUUAAUGAGAAAAAUAAGUAUUUGAAAAGCAGUGCUGAGACGUAUUAGAAAAUAAAAUUUGCUGUUUUCUGAGGCAGGAUGGCAUCACUCUACAGGCUAAGUGGAGGGCACCUCAGCCAGUUCCCUCUCCUCACCCUCAGGGGCUGAAUCUACCUGUUGUGAUGACUUUCCCCAAGCUCCCUGGGACAAUAAUACAAGGCUUUACUCUUGAAAAGUCCCAACUUUUUUUUUCCUUACUUCCAUGUUAGCUAGGAAUCUUAAAUCACCCCUCAUCCAUUUA
Molecule: non-coding RNA, 988 nt
Organism: Castor canadensis (American beaver)
Lineage: Eukaryota; Metazoa; Chordata; Mammalia; Rodentia; Castoridae
Source: RefSeq, a predicted model, not a curated record